Molecule: ribosomal RNA, 492 nt
Filed under: uncultured bacterium
Lineage: Bacteria
Description: partial 16S ribosomal RNA
Rfam family: Bacterial small subunit ribosomal RNA
Source: RNAcentral
GACGAACGCUGGCGGCGUGCUUAACACAUGCAAGUCGAACGGAAAGGCCCCCACUUUUUUGGUGGGGGUGCUCGAGUGGCGAACGGGUGAGUAACACGUGGGUGAUCUGCCCUCUACUUCGGGAUAAGCUUGGGAAACUGGGUCUAAUACCGGAUAGGACCAUGGUUUAGUGUCUCAUGGUGGAAAUAUUAUUGUUUUGGUGCAGGAUGAGCUCGCGGCCUAUCAGCUUGUUGGUGGGGUAAUGGCCUACCAAGGCGUCGACGGGUAGCCGGCCCGAGGGGGUGGACGGCCACAUUGGGACUGAGAUACGGAGCAGAAGACGAAGGGAGGCAGCAGUGGGGAAUAUUGCACAAUGGGCGCAAGCCUGAAGCAGCGACGCCGAGUGGGGGAUGACGGCCUUCGGGUUGUAAACUCCUUUCGUUAGGGACGAAGCCGCACCUUUUUUGGGUGUGGUGACGGUACCUUUGUUAAGAAGCACCGGCUAACUACGUG